RNAcentral lists this ribosomal RNA (468 nucleotides) under uncultured bacterium. RNAcentral's name for it is "partial 16S ribosomal RNA". It matches the Rfam family "Bacterial small subunit ribosomal RNA", at positions 28 to 507 of the family's 1533-position model. The record is from RNAcentral.
GACGAACGCUGAUGGCGUGCUUAACACAUGCAAGUCGAACGGAAAGGCCCUGCUUUUGUGGGGUGCUCGAGUGGCGAACGGGUGAGUAACACGUGAGUAACCUGCCCUUGACUUUGGGAUAACUUCAGGAAACUGGGGCUAAUACCGGAUAGGAGCUCCUGCUGCAUGGUGGGGGUUGGAAAGUUUCGGCGGUUGGGGAUGGACUCGCGGCUUAUCAGCUUGUUGGUGGGGUAGUGGCUUACCAAGGCUUUGACGGGUAGCCGGCCUGAGAGGGUGACCGGCCACAUUGGGACUGAGAUACGGCCCAGACUCCUACGGGAGGCAGCAGUGGGGAAUAUUGCACAAUGGGCGGAAGCCUGAUGCAGCAACGCCGCGUGCGGGAUGACGGCCUUCGGGUUGUAAACCGCUUUCGCCUGUGACGAAGCGUGAGUGACGGUAAUGGGUAAAGAAGCACCGGCUAACUACGUG